This is a long non-coding RNA of Platichthys flesus (European flounder), 713 nucleotides long. RefSeq lists it as uncharacterized. The transcript has 3 exons. Lineage: Eukaryota; Metazoa; Chordata; Actinopteri; Pleuronectiformes; Pleuronectidae. The record is from RefSeq and is a predicted model, not a curated record.
GCCUGUUCGAGUCCACUGAAACUCUUCCUCCACUUCCACUCAGGCACCGCUGAAUUUCCUAAGCAAUCAGGUCCAGCGUAUUCGGGCAGGUAUAGACCACGACACCUUAACAAGUUAAAAUGCAAAGCCAAGUAGAACAUUAAAUCAGAGUGAAUGAGACAGCCGAUACCCAGAGUCAUCAAGUUCCUAGAAGAGAGACGAGACACCCAGUGACAUGUCUGUACAUACAGCAGGAAAACAGAUGCCGUGUAAGCUGCUAAUCAAAUAUGCUCAGCUGAAGAGGAAAUGUGCCAAACUGUGCACAGAGGAAUUUGUGCAGACACAAGAGGACAGAGAACAUUAAGAUGGAGAUGAGGAAGAUAAAAGCCGUUGGACAUUUAAAUUUAGCGUCCGAGGACAUUUACUGUUUUGCUGGAGUGUGCUAGUUCUUGAUUACAAUGUUGACAUUUUACUCGGAAUUAACCUGAUUAAAAUUGAGCGUAAAAGCCCACAGCUCAGCAUUUCUCAUGAUCACAGGAGAUGGAUUAAGAAAGAAGGCUUUCAAAUUGAAUAUACCUCUCCCUGCUCAGCCUGCUAAUUGUACCAUUUACCACUGCUUGAGUCACUGACCGACGCUAUUUAGUCAAACUAAUGAUGAUGCACAGUCCACGCCAUCCCACGAUAAUUAAAAAAAGUGCUGUCUCUUUUUCUGUAUUAGCUAUUGUAUUUUUCAA